GGGUUAUACCAGGUUGCUCUAUAUGAUUUCUUAAAAAAGAAAAAGAAAAAUAAAAGCAAGAAGAUGAACUCCUUGAAAAGGUUCGGAAGGAUAAAUGUUGCACAGCAAGAGGUGCGAUUUGUUGUGAUUUCCAAUUCAAAUGGAGGAACUUUAAAGAUAUAUUCAAUCGAUCAAGAUCGUAUGAAGCUGCGAUUUUAACAGGUAAAAAUUAGGGUUAUAUUUUUGGAGAAGACGAAAAUCCUUUGGGGUGGAAGAGUUUACAUCUUUAAUACGUUUAGCAUUUAACCUUUGAUUGUUAUGCAAAAUUACAUCCCGAAUUUGUCUUCUGUAUCUUCUAAAAUUUAUAAUUCCCGCUAAUGUAAUUUCAUUUUGGGAUUUCAAAGUUCCUGCUUGGUUCGAGUACAUUAGUCUUUUCUUAUUUUCUCAUCUGUUAAAAUCCGUUUCUUGACGUUUUAAGUUUCGUUUUUCAGUUCAACUUGAUUCCACUUUGUCAAGCUCUGGUGAAUUUCUUGUCUUUGUUUAUUAUUCUUUAAUGGGUUUAUUUUGGGAUUUUGUGUUUUCUUGACUAAAUUUACAGAAAACAAUGCUGCAGUUAUUUAGUUUUAGAUAAAACUUUAUAAUAAAUUACAUAAAAAGAUCUUUGUCCUUUGAAGAGCAAAGCUUUAAAUAAAUCAUCACACUUUUGGUUCCUAUUUUACCCUCAUGUUUUUGAAUCAAUGAAAAAAUGGAUUUGAAAACACAGGUCCUAGGCAAUGGCCACCAUCAGUUGGUGGUGGCUGGUGGUGUGAGUUUGAAUGAACAUCAAUUGGGAACCAAAAUAAAAUAUAAAACUUAUUUCCCAAGAACAAAUCAAGGAAUUGGUAAAUUACUUACUUUUCAACUAAUGAAUGAAAAAUAAUAAUCAAAGUCAUACCAUUUAUAGCAUCCAACUGCAUCAUAUAUUCAUAUUAGGGGGUAUUUUGGGUACUUUCGGGCCAAAAGAAAAAAAACCCCAAAAAAGUAAGUAAUAACCAUUAUGUAUAAGAUUUUUUUUUAUCAAACAAACUUGUAUUUUGAUUGAUAAAUGUAAUGUUCAUCACAUAUGUAUUUCUUCAUCAGAAUGUAAUGUUCAUCAAAUAUUUAUUUCUUCAAAAUUGUAUUUCGAUUGGCAAAAUUGCAUAACAAUCAUAUAUCUUGAUUCGUUAUUUUUCCAAAUUUAUUGAUCUUCUUUUCUAUGUUUUUAGCGAAUUUUGUUAGUCAAAUUAGCUAAAAGUGAUGUGCAUUGUUACAGAUCCAAAACAACUAAUUUUCGGUUUAUAGCACUUGUUUUCUUGAAACUUUUCAAUUUCAAGUCGAAUUUGAAGGUGGAAAGUUAGUUCCUUUGCAUACACCCUUUCAACUUUUUUACAUAAGUUAUUUAACCAAUUCCAUAUAAAUAUAUCGUACAUCCCCCUUAUUUCCUCUUUGUUCAAUCAACAUUUGUCUAUGAACUCUAACUAAUGGCAGUAAGAAUUAAUAUUGAUUUCAGGUGUAGAAGUUCAUAAUUGGAGUUGCCCUAUUUUUUACAUACCAAAAUCAGAUUAUAAACAUGUAAUAUUGUUAUACUACAAUGUCUUGUCAAAAAUCACAGUACCUUUUUACUACAUGCAAAAAUACAUCACAUUACUUAAAAAUACAUAAAUACCAUUUUACAUAAAUAAUUACAUUUACCAUUUCAUGCUAUUACAUUGUCUUUUUAUGAAAACGACAAAUAUGUGGUAUUCUUUUGGUUGUAUACUUUUAACAAUGUACUUUUGGUGUGUCACUAAUUGUUACAUAAAUGUUCACUGUCACGGUUUACACUUUGGGAAAUGGUCAAUGUGACUGUAAAAUUUAACAGAAAUGGUCCAUGUGUCAGUAAAUUAUUACAAAAAUGGUAUGUCCAUGUUACAGAAUUGGUUUCUGUAACAAUAAACUAUCAAAGUGACCAUUUAAUUCAUGAACGAUGUAUAAAACGAAAAAUUAUGUUAUAUAUAUAUAUAUAUAAGGGACAAAAUGGUCAAGUUAACAGUAACAGUUUGCAUGGGCAAAAUGGUUAACUUGACAAUUCCCAGGGACAAAUAUGAUUAAAUAAAUGAAAAAAAUUAAACUUUCUGUUAGAAGAGUUUUACAAAAGAAAAAUGCAUUGCUAUAAUAUCAUAAUAAUACAAUAUGAAAAGUAGACUACCUUUUUUGCCCAGUCCCAGAAAAUUUAAAAGAAAUCAUAAUUAUAACAUUAUACUUUAAUAGCAAUGUACUUUAUUUUAUGCAUUCAAUAGAAAAAGAGGACAUGUGAUGCGUAAAGGAAAUUACAUAAAUUUUAAUUAAGCAUUAAAUGUUUAGGAAAAAGUUAUAUGAAACAAAAAACAAAGUAAGAUGUUAUAAUUAAAAAAAUUUGGAGCAUAAUGAUAUCAUUUUAUAAGAAGUUACAAAAAACCAAAGUAGGAUUCCAUAUUAGGACAAAUGCAAUAAAAAAAAGACAUAACGACAUGCUUAACAAUCCUACAACUUUCAAUUGUAGAAUCAGAGAAAUCGUCCCUUUCCAUAGAAAUGACGAUAAAUGGUACCUGUUUAAGAAAUUAACAAAAUGAUAGAAACAGAUGGAAUAGAUUUAAAAAAAACACUUUAUGUAUAAUCGAUUAUUGAUUGGUUGUUGCAGGAUCCUGAUAAUGAAUUUUAUCAAAAAUCAGUUGAAGAGGCUGCAAAGGUACAUUGCUGCAGGCAAUUGAAUCACAUGAAGAAAUUUAAUUAGAAAUCCAGGGUAAGGGUAGUUAUCGUAUGAAGGUAUUAAAAAAACAUACCUGCUGUGUUGUACUUGCAUGAAGAGAUGUAAUAGAAACAGGAAGAAAAAACAUGAAGAAGACGAAUCACGAAAAUGUGAAGGGUAUGUUAUCGUAUGAAGGUAUAUAUUCGUAGAUUAUUUGUAUUUGUAGCUAAUAAUAUGCAAAUCGUCCAAAUUUAUUAAUAUAUUGGGAGAUAUUAUCUUUAUCAUGUUAAAUAAGGAUGUGAUUGUAACCUGUCAUAUGAAUUACCGGAUUAUUAGGUGUACAACGUUAUUUUCUUUUUGAAAUACCUUAUUUAAAGGGUUGUAGGUGAUGUUAUUAAAAAAUUCAAAUUUUAAUAUGUGAUGUUAUUAAAAAUUCAAAUUUUAAUACCGGAUUCUAUGGAUGACAGGCUGUUGAUUACGAUCAAAAGCUGGUUAAUUUAAGCAUGUUCGAUAUCUAAAUUGAUUUUCAAUUUCAAUUUAAAUGCAGGAAUGCAUGAACAGAGAUAGAGAUGAGUAAACCGAAAUUGUCCCAAAAUCGGCUGCUAAAUUGUAGGGAAUCAGAUUUGGUAUUGAAAGUGAUUGAAAUUAAUUGAAUGGGCGGGAAAAAAGUGGGUAAAUAGGUGGAGAGAAUGACACGUGGCAUCUUGCUUGUGUAUAAGAUGGACACGUGGCGUUUAAGGGAGGUUUUUAUUAAGUACUAGGUGUGAGACCCAUGUAUUACAUGAGUUAUUUAAAAAAAAUAAAUAUAAAAUUUUAACAAUUUGAAAAGUUUGAAUUUAUAACAAAAAUGAGAAAAUUUUUGAAUUAUUAAAAUUAAUGAGGCUUUAAUGUAUUGAAUACAUUACAUAUAUAAACCCUUUCUAAUAAAUACUUUACAUAUAUAUUACCUUAUAUAUUAAAUAUGGAAUUUUAAUUUAAUAAAAUGAAAAAUACAAUAAAAUGACAAGUGAAAAAUAAAAAAUUUAAAAAAAUCAAGAAAAUGACAAGUAUCAAAAUUAAUGAGAGGUUGACAUGUGACAAAAAAAACCUUCAUUUAUUAAGGAGGAUGGAUACACAGCCAAAAGGUAGGCGUUGUUUUGCUUAAUGACACCAACAAAGUUGUAAAUUUUGUCCAUUUAUAUAUUAACACAAUAGAGAUUAAACAUGAAACGUCGUCUAUAUUGGGUACGAAGUGUUAUAAAUCAACAACAUAUCCCUACAUAUAUAAGAGAAUCGAAUAUGUUUGCUUCAUGCUAUAGUCUUGUGGUUGUUUCACCAGAAAAUGAAAGAAGAUAUAUGUCUAAAUUCUAUGGCCAGUCCACAUUUAUUAAGGCUACUUUCUCAUUGGCUGGAUUGACAUUUUAUAUUAUUUAUUGCUUUAUUAUCAUGCUGGAUAAUCACAUAAAUGAUGGAAAAACUUAGGAAACUUGUUUCUAUGAUGGGUCUUGCUUACAAAAAGAAUCAUUUAUGAAGGGAGAAACAUGAUGUCCAAAAACUAUAAAUGAGAUGUUAUGAAGAGAACAUGCUCAACAGAUGUCUUUUAUUAUAUCCCGUUAUGUUUUACAUAUAUUUGUUUUUUAAUAUUACUCCUCUUUUACUUACACUCAUGAUCUAUUCAUAUUUGCCACAUACGCACUAGUGCUUUUCAGGUUGCAUCCUGCAUAGUUAUAUUAAAGAUUUUUAAUGUGACCUUACAAGUCUAUAUCUAGACCUACUAUAUAUAUAUUUUUGGAAACAACCAAUGGAAUUAAUAAACCGAAGCCAAGCAAGUAGCUGGACAAGAGCAGAACAUACAAACAAGGAUUCUGAUCAAGAAACAAAAAACAGGGAAGUCACAUAAGGGAGAAACAUUCCAUUCAUCCCAACUACAAAUACCCAUUUUGCCCCUGCACUUAAUCCAUGUGUAUGUUGAUGACUUAAUGACGAUCCACCCCUUUAGUUGGAUUGAUAAAGAGAUGCUCAAAUACUCUGUUAUUCCUGAACUUCCAUAACCCCCAUAUUAGACCGUAACAGAUGAUUAGAAACCUCCUGCGUUUUUUCACACACCUACCCCACGACUCAGCAAAUUCUAAUAAAUCUUGGACACUGUAGGAGCUACAUACAUUAACCCCACACCAACUGAAUAAUUUUNAUUAAAAAAUUCAAAUUUUAAUAUGUGAUGUUAUUAAAAAUUCAAAUUUUAAUACCGGAUUCUAUGGAUGACAGGCUGUUGAUUACGAUCAAAAGCUGGUUAAUUUAAGCAUGUUCGAUAUCUAAAUUGAUUUUCAAUUUCAAUUUAAAUGCANNNNNNNNNNNNNNNNNNNNNNNNNNNNNNNNNNNNNNNNNNNNNNNNNCCCAAAAUCGGCUGCUAAAUUGUAGGGAAUCAGAUCUGGUAUUGAAAGUGAUUGAAAUUAAUUGAAUGGGCGGGAAAAAAGUGGGUAAAUAGGUGGAGAGAAUGACACGUGGCAUCUUGCUUGUGUAUAAGAUGGACACGUGGCGUUUAAGGGAGGUUUUUAUUAAGUACUAGGUGUGAGACCCAUGUAUUACAUGAGUUAUUUAAAAAAAAUAAAUAUAAAAUUUUAACAAUUUGAAAAGUUUGAAUUUAUAACAAAAAUGAGAAAAUUUUUGAAUUAUUAAAAUUAAUGAGGCUUUAAUGUAUUGAAUACAUUACAUAUAUAAACCCUUUCUAAUAAAUACUUUACAUAUAUAUUACCUUAUAUAUUAAAUAUGGAAUUUUA
Molecule: long non-coding RNA, 5460 nt
Filed under: Lactuca sativa (garden lettuce)
Lineage: Eukaryota; Viridiplantae; Streptophyta; Magnoliopsida; Asterales; Asteraceae
Description: long non-coding RNA (LSAT_LNC007341)
Source: RNAcentral